This 461-nucleotide ribosomal RNA is filed under the name uncultured bacterium. RNAcentral describes it as "partial 16S ribosomal RNA". It matches the Rfam family "Bacterial small subunit ribosomal RNA", at positions 29 to 507 of the family's 1533-position model. The record is from RNAcentral.
ACGAACGCUGGCGGCGUGCUUCACACAUGCAAGUCGAGCGACGCUCUUCCUUCGGGGAGAUGACGGAGCGGCGAACGGGUGAGUAACACGUGGGCAACCUGCCCCUAGCUCUGGGACAACACCGGGAAACCGGUGCUAAUACCGGAUACGACAUCGAGCGGCAUCUCUCGAUGUGGAAAGUUUUUUCGGCUAGGGAUGGGCCCGCGGCCUAUCAGCUUGUUGGUGGGGUAAUGGCCCACCAAGGCGACGACGGGUAGCCGGCCUGAGAGGGCGACCGGCCACACUGGGACUGAGACACGGCCCAGACUCCUACGGGAGGCAGCAGUGGGGAAUAUUGCGCAAUGGGCGAAAGCCUGACGCAGCGACGCCGCGUGAGGGAUGACGGCCUUCGGGUUGUAAACCUCUUUCAGCAGGGACGAAUUCAGACGGUACCUGCAGAAGAAGCACCGGCCAACUACGUG